RNAcentral lists this ribosomal RNA (402 nucleotides) under bacterium. Its description in RNAcentral is "partial 16S ribosomal RNA". It matches the Rfam family "Bacterial small subunit ribosomal RNA", at positions 355 to 776 of the family's 1533-position model. The record is from RNAcentral.
UGGGGAAUUUUGCACAAUGGGGGAAACCCUGAUGCAGCGACGCCGCGUGAUUUAGAAGGCCUUCGGGUUGUAAAAAUCUUUUCUAUGGGAAGAAAAUGACAGUACCAUAGGAAUAAGGACCGGCUAAUUACGUGCCAGCAGCCGCGGUAAUACGUAAGGUCCGAGCGAUGUCCGGAAUCAUUGGGCGUAAAGGGUACGUAGGCGGGUAAGCAAGUUAGAAGUGAAAUCCUAUAGCUCAACUAUAGUAAGCUUUUAAAACUGCUCAUCUUGAGGUAUGGAAGGGAAAGUGGAAUUCCUAGUGUAGCGGUGAAAUGCGCAGAUAUUAGGAGGAAUACCGGUGGCGAAGGCGACUUUCUGGCCAUAACCUGACGCUGAGGUACGAAAGCGUGGGUAGCAAACAGG